GACGAACGCUGGCGGCGUGCUUAACACAUGCAAGUCGAACGGAAAGGCCUGCUUUCCCUUGUGGAUUGCGGGUACUCGAGUGGCGAACGGGUGAGUAACACGUGAGUGAUCUGCCCCCAACUUGGGUAUAAGCCUGGGAAACUGGGUCUAAUUCCCGAUAGGACUGCAGGGUGGUGCCUGUGGUGGAAAACGAUUUUCUAGUGGUUGGGGAUGAGCUCGCGGCCUAUCAGCUUGUUGGUGGGGUAAUGGCCUACCAAGGCGGCGACGGGUAGCCGGCCUGAGAGGGUGGGCGGGCACAGUGGGACUGAGACACGGCCCAGACUCCUACGGGAGGCAGCAGUGGGGAAUAUUGCACGAUGGGCGGAAGCCUGAUGCAGCGACGCCGCGUGGGGGAUGACGGCCUUCGGGUGGUAAACUCCUUUCGGCCGCGAGGAAGCCACCUGGUUGGAAGGGUGGUGACGGUAGUGGUAGAAGAAGCACCGGCUAACUACGUG
This 494-nucleotide ribosomal RNA is filed under the name uncultured bacterium. RNAcentral describes it as "partial 16S ribosomal RNA". It matches the Rfam family "Bacterial small subunit ribosomal RNA", at positions 28 to 507 of the family's 1533-position model. The record is from RNAcentral.